UUAACAAGUAGUUACAUUUUAUAUUAUCUAUAUAGCUAGUGAAAUAUGGAAGAUGGCAUGCAAUAAUUACUUUGAGGAGGCUGAAGAGCGAAAUUAUUAGUGAAUUAUGGCAUGGAAAGGAAGUGACAGAGCAGCUAAUUAGAAAGUAUGAUCAUCAUCUUCAUGAAAGUUUAAUUCUUGGCUUCCAAGAUACUCUCUUCCUUUGGAAAAACACCUUCGAUGCUCAGUUCUAGUGGUUUUAUGGUAGGCUACGCUAUUCAACCCACAACCACUACCUUGCCUGAUCAAGAUUGUAUGGAACAAUGUAGCAAGGAAAGUUCACUGCGAUGGAGCGAGCAAGUGUAGGUGUGUCCAGGGAGCGUUGAAAGGCAUCCUGUGGCUGUGGAUGGUCAUAGUCAUAGCUGGAGGAAGUAUGGACAGAAACAAAACCUCGGAGCCAAUUUUCCAAGGUAAGAAAACUAUCUAAAAUAAUUUCAUGUUUUCAUCAACCGUGCCAACUAAUGCUAUGCAAAUCCAAACACCAAAAUACCAAUAUUGGUAUGGUAGUUGGGCCUUGCGGAUCGACCUUAUUGCUUUUAUUGUAUUUUUAAAUUUAUCAUUAUGUAUUAAAAAUAAACGUUAGGUAUAAAA
This is a long non-coding RNA of Tripterygium wilfordii, 630 nucleotides long. RefSeq lists it as uncharacterized. NCBI's taxonomy places the organism in Eukaryota, Viridiplantae, Streptophyta, Magnoliopsida, Celastrales, Celastraceae. The transcript has 2 exons. The record is from RefSeq and is a predicted model, not a curated record.